RNAcentral lists this ribosomal RNA (468 nucleotides) under uncultured bacterium. RNAcentral describes it as "partial 16S ribosomal RNA". It matches the Rfam family "Bacterial small subunit ribosomal RNA", at positions 28 to 507 of the family's 1533-position model. The record is from RNAcentral.
GACGAACGCUGGCGGCGUGCUUAACACAUGCAAGUCGAACGGAAAGGCCCUGCUUUUGUGGGGUGCUCGAGUGGCGAACGGGUGAGUAACACGUGAGUAACCUGCCCUUGACUUUGGGAUAACUUCAGGAAACUGGGGCUAAUACCGGAUAGGAGCUCCUGCUGCAUGGUGGGGGUUGGAAAGUUUCGGCGGUUGGGGAUGGACUCGCGGCUUAUCAGCUUGUUGGUGGGGUAGUGGCUUACCAAGGCUUUGACGGGUAGCCGGCCUGAGAGGGUGACCGGCCACAUUGGGACUGAGAUACGGCCCAGACUCCUACGGGCGGCAGCAGUGGGGAAUCUUGCCCCAUGGGCGGAAGCCUGAUGCAGCAACGCCGCGUGCGGGAUGACGGCCUUCGGGUUGUAAACCGCUUUCGCCUGUGACGACGCGUGAGUGACGGUAAUGGGUAAAGAAGCACCGGCUAACUACGUG